This 476-nucleotide unclassified non-coding RNA is filed under the name Hevea brasiliensis (rubber tree). The record is from RNAcentral. Lineage: Eukaryota; Viridiplantae; Streptophyta; Magnoliopsida; Malpighiales; Euphorbiaceae.
AAAAAAAAUGUGUAUAUAUAUAUAAGAUACUUAAGCAAACCCAAUUCUUCAUUUGGGCAACAACACAAACAACAGACAGAAAUGAAAGUGAAAAAGGAACCACAAUCCAAACAAAGAAUAAGAAUUUGAAGCCAAGUAGCUAGGUUAAAAGGGACCCAUGCAUUUUGCUCAAAUAUAAUUUUCAAUACCAAGGAAAGCAUUUUGAUUUUAUUAGUUUCUCUACGUGAAAGCUAAUUCUUACUCCGCUGUCCAAAAUAUACACAAAUAAGAACACCGAGGAGCUUAUAUAUAAAUUGCAUGCAAAAUUUUAUAGGAAAAAAAUCAUUGCAAUUAAUUACCAACCUAUUUGUUCACCAUUUAACAUAUUAGCAACCCUUUUUGCAAUGCUCUUAUUGGUAAAUUCAACCCACCCUUCAGAGAAUUCUUGACCUCGAAAUCCACCAGCUCUUUUGCGAUUUACUCGAGCAGUGGGAUCU